Molecule: ribosomal RNA, 1771 nt
Filed under: Escherichia coli
Lineage: Bacteria; Pseudomonadati; Pseudomonadota; Gammaproteobacteria; Enterobacterales; Enterobacteriaceae
Description: partial 23S ribosomal RNA
Rfam family: Bacterial large subunit ribosomal RNA
Source: RNAcentral
CUGACCGAUAGUGAACCAGUACCGUGAGGGAAAGGCGAAAAGAACCCCGGCGAGGGGAGUGAAAAAGAACCUGAAACCGUGUACGUACAAGCAGUGGGAGCACGCUUAGGCGUGUGACUGCGUACCUUUUGUAUAAUGGGUCAGCGACUUAUAUUCUGUAGCAAGGUUAACCGAAUAGGGGAGCCGAAGGGAAACCGAGUCUUAACUGGGCGUUAAGUUGCAGGGUAUAGACCCGAAACCCGGUGAUCUAGCCAUGGGCAGGUUGAAGGUUGGGUAACACUAACUGGAGGACCGAACCGACUAAUGUUGAAAAAUUAGCGGAUGACUUGUGGCUGGGGGUGAAAGGCCAAUCAAACCGGGAGAUAGCUGGUUCUCCCCGAAAGCUAUUUAGGUAGCGCCUCGUGAAUUCAUCUCCGGGGGUAGAGCACUGUUUCGGCAAGGGGGUCAUCCCGACUUACCAACCCGAUGCAAACUGCGAAUACCGGAGAAUGUUAUCACGGGAGACACACGGCGGGUGCUAACGUCCGUCGUGAAGAGGGAAACAACCCAGACCGCCAGCUAAGGUCCCAAAGUCAUGGUUAAGUGGGAAACGAUGUGGGAAGGCCCAGACAGCCAGGAUGUUGGCUUAGAAGCAGCCAUCAUUUAAAGAAAGCGUAAUAGCUCACUGGUCGAGUCGGCCUGCGCGGAAGAUGUAACGGGGCUAAACCAUGCACCGAAGCUGCGGCAGCGACGCUGAUGCGUUGUUGGGUAGGGGAGCGUUCUGUAAGCCUGUGAAGGUGUGCUGUGAGGCAUGCUGGAGGUAUCAGAAGUGCGAAUGCUGACAUAAGUAACGAUAAAGCGGGUGAAAAGCCCGCUCGCCGGAAGACCAAGGGUUCCUGUCCAACGUUAAUCGGGGCAGGGUGAGUCGACCCCUAAGGCGAGGCCGAAAGGCGUAGUCGAUGGGAAACAGGUUAAUAUUCCUGUACUUGGUGUUACUGCGAAGGGGGGACGGAGAAGGCUAUGUUGGCCGGGCGACGGUUGUCCCGGUUUAAGCGUGUAGGCUGGUUUUCCAGGCAAAUCCGGAAAAUCAAGGCUGAGGCGUGAUGACGAGGCACUACGGUGCUGAAGCAACAAAUGCCCUGCUUCCAGGAAAAGCCUCUAAGCAUCAGGUAACAUCAAAUCGUACCCCAAACCGACACAGGUGGUCAGGUAGAGAAUACCAAGGCGCUUGAGAGAACUCGGGUGAAGGAACUAGGCAAAAUGGUGCCGUAACUUCGGGAGAAGGCACGCUGAUAUGUAGGUGAAGUCCCUCGCGGAUGGAGCUGAAAUCAGUCGAAGAUACCAGCUGGCUGCAACUGUUUAUUAAAAACACAGCACUGUGCAAACACGAAAGUGGACGUAUACGGUGUGACGCCUGCCCGGUGCCGGAAGGUUAAUUGAUGGGGUCAGCGCAAGCGAAGCUCUUGAUCGAAGCCCCGGUAAACGGCGGCCGUAACUAUAACGGUCCUAAGGUAGCGAAAUUCCUUGUCGGGUAAGUUCCGACCUGCACGAAUGGCGUAAUGAUGGCCAGGCUGUCUCCACCCGAGACUCAGUGAAAUUGAACUCGCUGUGAAGAUGCAGUGUACCCGCGGCAAGACGGAAAGACCCCGUGAACCUUUACUAUAGCUUGACACUGAACAUUGAGCCUUGAUGUGUAGGAUAGGUGGGAGGCUUUGAAGUGUGGACGCCAGUCUGCAUGGAGCCGGCCUUGAAAUACCACCCUUUAAUGUUUGAUGUUCUAACGUUGACCCGU